UGGCGGCGUGGCCUAAUACAUGCAAGUCGAGACGAACUGAUUAGAAGCUUGCUUCUAUGACGUUAGCGGCGGACGGGUGAGUAACACGUGGGCAACCUGCCUGUAAGACUGGGAUAACUUCGGGAAACCGAAGCUAAUACCGGAUAGGAUCUUCUCCUUCAUGGGAGAUGAUUGAAAGAUGGUUUCGGCUAUCACUUACAGAUGGGCCCGCGGUGCAUUAGCUAGUUGGUGAGGUAACGGCUCACCAAGGCCACGAUGCAUAGCCGACCUGAGAGGGUGAUCGGCCACACUGGGACUGAGACACGGCCCAGACUCCUACGGGAGGCAGCAGUAGGGAAUCUUCCGCAAUGGACGAAAGUCUGACGGAGCAACGCCGCGUGAGUGAUGAAGGCUUUCGGGUCGUAAAACUCUGUUGUUAGGGAAGAACAAGUACAAGAGUAACUGCUUGUACCUUGACGGUACCUAACCAGAAAGCCACGGCUAACUACAGUGCCAGCAGCCGCGGUAAUACGUAGGUGGCAAGCGUUAUCCGGAAUUAUUGGGCGUAAAGCGCGCGCAGGCGGUUUCUUAAGUCUGAUGUGAAAGCCCACGGCUCAACCGUGGAGGGUCAUNGGAAACUGGGGAACUUGAGUGCAGAAGAGAAAAGCGGAAUUCCACGUGUAGCGGUGAAAUGCGUAGAGAUGUGGAGGAACACCAGUGGCGAACGCGGCUUUUUUGGUCUGUAACUGACGCUGAGGCGCNGAGAGCGUGGGGAGCAAA
This 759-nucleotide ribosomal RNA is filed under the name Bacillus sp. 5R17-101. RNAcentral describes it as "bacterial SSU rRNA". It matches the Rfam family "Bacterial small subunit ribosomal RNA", at positions 37 to 772 of the family's 1533-position model. Lineage: Bacteria; Bacillati; Bacillota; Bacilli; Caryophanales; Bacillaceae. The record is from RNAcentral.